Molecule: ribosomal RNA, 378 nt
Filed under: uncultured eukaryote
Lineage: Eukaryota
Description: partial 18S ribosomal RNA
Rfam family: Eukaryotic small subunit ribosomal RNA
Source: RNAcentral
CAAUAGCGUAUAUUAAAGUUGCUGCAGUUAAAAAGCUCGUAGUCGGAUUUCAGGGUCUUCUGGCUGGUCUGCCGAAAGGUAUGCACUGGUCGGUAGACCCUUCCUUCUGAAGACUGCGUCUGUUCUUAAUUGGAUGGGCGUAGGAUUCAGAUCGUUUACUUUGAAAAAAUUAGAGUGUUUAAAGCAGGCCACUGCCGUGAAUACUUCAGCAUGGAAUAAUAGAAUAGGACUUUGGUUUUAUUUUGUUGGUUUCUAGGACCAAAGUAAUGAUUAAUAGGGACAGUUGGGGGCAUCAGUAUUUAAUUGCUAGAGGUGAAAUUCUCAGAUUUAUGAAAGACUAACUUCUGCGAAAGCAUUUGCCAAGGAUGUUUUCAUUGA